GAUGAACGCUGGCGGCGUGCUUAACACAUGCAAGUCGAACGGAAAGGCCCAAGCUUGCUUGGGUACUCGAGUGGCGAACGGGUGAGUAACACGUGGGUGAUCUGCCCUGCACUUCGGGAUAAGCCUGGGAAACUGGGUCUAAUACCGGAUAGGACGAUGGUUUGGAUGCCAUUGUGGAAAGUUUUUUCGGUGUGGGAUGAGCUCGCGGCCUAUCAGCUUGUUGGUGGGGUAAUGGCCUACCAAGGCGUCGACGGGUAGCCGGCCUGAGAGGGUGUACGGCCACAUUGGGACUGAGAUACGGCCCAGACUCCUACGGGAGGCAGCAGUGGGGAAUAUUGCACAAUGGGCGCAAGCCUGAUGCAGCGACGCCGCGUGGGGAUGACGGCCUUCGGGUUGUAAACUCCUUUCGCUAGGGACGAAGCGUUUUUGUGACGGUACCUGGAGAAGAAGCACCGGCUAACUACGUG
Molecule: ribosomal RNA, 467 nt
Filed under: uncultured bacterium
Lineage: Bacteria
Description: partial 16S ribosomal RNA
Rfam family: Bacterial small subunit ribosomal RNA
Source: RNAcentral